UCCUUGCUUCGUUUUUUUCCCACUAGAAUUUUCCUUGGCUGGGUGCCUUUCGCCAGGGCCUUGGCCAAGAGGUUACACUCAGCAUGCCCUCUGCCGGGCUCCAUCCUCCCAACCCAGUGGGCAGUUGCAGAGAGCGAAAGAGGGGACCUGCCUCAGAUUAACACAUAGAGGCUGAGGGAGGUCUCAAGAUUAGGUCUUGUGCUUAAGGAUACAGAGAGGAACAAGACACAGCCCCAG
Molecule: non-coding RNA, 237 nt
Organism: Leptonychotes weddellii (Weddell seal)
Lineage: Eukaryota; Metazoa; Chordata; Mammalia; Carnivora; Phocidae
Source: RefSeq, a predicted model, not a curated record